AGUGAACGCUGGCGGCAGGCCUAACACAUGCAAGUCGAACGGCAGCACAGUAAGAGCUUGCUCUUACGGGUGGCGAGUGGCGGACGGGUGAGGAAUACAUCGGAAUCUACUUUUUCGUGGGUGAUAACGUAGGGAAACUUACGCUAAUACCGCAUACGACCUACGGGUGAAAGCAGGGGAUCUUCGGACCUUGCGCGAUUGAAUGAGCCGAUGUCGGAUUAGCUAGUUGGCGGGGUAAAGGCCCACCAAGGCGACGAUCCGUAGCUGGUCUGAGAGGAUGAUCAGCCACACUGGAACUGAGACACGGUCCAGACUCCUACGGGAGGCAGCAGUGGGGAAUAUUGGACAAUGGGCGCAAGCCUGAUCCAGCCAUACCGCGUGGGUGAAGAAGGCCUUCGGGUUGUAAAGCCCUUUUGUUGGGAAAGAAAAGCAGCAGGUUAAUACCCCGCUGUUCUGACGGUACCCAAAGAAUAAGCACCGGCUAACUUCGUG
RNAcentral lists this ribosomal RNA (492 nucleotides) under uncultured bacterium. Its description in RNAcentral is "partial 16S ribosomal RNA". It matches the Rfam family "Bacterial small subunit ribosomal RNA", at positions 29 to 507 of the family's 1533-position model. The record is from RNAcentral.